UGGGGAAUAUUGCGCAAUGGGCGAAAGCCUGACGCAGCGACGCCGCGUGAGGGAUGAAGGUUUUCGGAUCGUAAACCUCUGUCAGAAGGGAAGAAACCGCACUGUGCUAAUCAGCAGUGCCUUGACGGUACCUUCAAAGGAAGCACCGGCUAACUCCGUGCCAGCAGCCGCGGUAAUACGGAGGGUGCAAGCGUUAAUCGGAAUUACUGGGCGUAAAGCGCACGUAGGCUGCUUUGUAAGUCAGGGGUGAAAUCCCACGGCUCAACCGUGGAACUGCCUUGUGGACUGCUUAGCUUGAAUCCGGGAGAGGGUGGCGGAAUUCCAGGUGUAGAAGUGAGAUCCGUAGAUAUCUGGAGGAACAUCAGUGGCGAAGGCGGCCACCUGGGCCGGUAUUGACGCUGAGGUGCGAAAGCGUGUGGAGCAAACAGG
RNAcentral lists this ribosomal RNA (429 nucleotides) under Fusobacteriota bacterium. Its description in RNAcentral is "Fusobacteria bacterium partial 16S ribosomal RNA". It matches the Rfam family "Bacterial small subunit ribosomal RNA", at positions 355 to 776 of the family's 1533-position model. Lineage: Bacteria; Fusobacteriati; Fusobacteriota. The record is from RNAcentral.